UUAAUGCCCUAGGGGAGUAUAUUACUGAGAGUCCAAAUUAUUGGACGACCCUUAGAACCUGAUCCGGAUGAUACCGGCGUAGGGAAGCGGCGCUGAAACUGG
Desulfobacteraceae bacterium 4572_35.2 is the source of this 102-nucleotide non-coding RNA. The record is from Rfam. NCBI's taxonomy places the organism in Bacteria, Pseudomonadati, Thermodesulfobacteriota, Desulfobacteria, Desulfobacterales, Desulfobacteraceae.